GGCACUAUAGCCAAGUGGUUAAGGCGACAGAUUAGAAUUAGCCAUUCGUGCUGGUUUCAUCUGUUACUCUCUGAGUGCGCAGGUUCAAAUCCUGCUGGUGUCG
RNAcentral lists this transfer RNA (103 nucleotides) under Armillaria gallica. It matches the Rfam family "tRNA". Rfam says of the family: Transfer RNA (tRNA) molecules are approximately 80 nucleotides in length. Their secondary structure includes four short double-helical elements and three loops (D, anti-codon, and T loops). The record is from Rfam by way of RNAcentral. Lineage: Eukaryota; Fungi; Basidiomycota; Agaricomycetes; Agaricales; Physalacriaceae.